RNAcentral lists this ribosomal RNA (402 nucleotides) under uncultured bacterium. Its description in RNAcentral is "bacterial SSU rRNA". It matches the Rfam family "Bacterial small subunit ribosomal RNA", at positions 355 to 774 of the family's 1533-position model. The record is from RNAcentral. RNAcentral also lists the same sequence under 1 other name.
UGGGGAAUAUUGGACAAUGGGCGAAAGCCUGAUCCAGCAAUGCCGCGUGAGUGAUGAAGGCCCUAGGGUUGUAAAGCUCUUUUACCCGGGAUGAUAAUGACAGUACCGGGAGAAUAAGCUCCGGCUAACUUCGUGCCAGCAGCCGCGGUAAUACGAGGGGAGCUAGCGUUGUUCGGAAUUACUGGGCGUAAAGCGCGCGUAGGCGGUUUUUUAAGUCAGAGGUGAAAGCCCGGGGCUCAACCCCGGAAUAGCCUUUGAAACUGGAAAACUAGAAUCUUGGAGAGGUCAGUGGAAUUCCGAGUGUAGAGGUGAAAUUCGUAGAUAUUCGGAAGAACACCAGUGGCGAAGGCGACUGACUGGACAAGUAUUGACGCUGAGGUGCGAAAGCGUGGGGAGCAAACA